This 409-nucleotide ribosomal RNA is filed under the name uncultured bacterium. RNAcentral describes it as "bacterial SSU rRNA". It matches the Rfam family "Bacterial small subunit ribosomal RNA", at positions 505 to 916 of the family's 1533-position model. The record is from RNAcentral.
GUGCCAGCCGCCGCGGUAACACGUAGGGGGCGAGCGUUGUUCGGAAUUACUGGGCGUAAAGGGCAUGUAGGCGGCUUGGUAAGCCUGGCGUGAAAGUCUGCAGCUUAACUGUAGGGAUGCGUUGGGAACUGCUUAGCUUGAGUUACGGAGAGGGAGCUGGAAUUCCUGGUGUAGGGGUGAAAUCUGUAGAUAUCAGGAAGAACACCGAUGGCGAAGGCAAGCUUCUGGCCGACAACUGACGCUGAGGUGCGAAAGUGUGGGGAUCAAACAGGAUUAGAUACCCUGGUAGUCCACACAGUAAACGAUGUGCACGAGGUGCUGGGGCGGUAGUUUCAGUGCCGGAGCGAACGCGGUAAGUGCACCGCCUGGGGAGUAUGCUCGCAAGGGUGAAACUCAAAUAAAUUGACGG